GAUGAAGAACGCAGCGAAACGCGAUAUGUAAUGUGAAUUGCAGAAUUCAGUGAAUCAUCGAAUCUUUGAACGCACAUGGCGCCUUCCAGUAUCCUGGGAGGCAUGCCUGUCCGAGCGUCGUUUCAACCCUCGAGCCCCCGUGGCCCGGCGUUGGGGAUCUGCCCAGGCAGUCCCCGAAAACCAGUGGCGGACCCGUUACAGGCCCUUCCCUUGCGUAGUAGCAUUCGCCUCGCAUCGGGAGCCGGCGGGCUUCCAGCCUCUAAACCCCCAUCAAGUCCGCCCCGGCGGCACCAAGGUUGACCUCGGAUCAGGUAGGAAUACCCGCUAAACUUAAGCAUAUCAAUAAGCGGAGGA
This 354-nucleotide unclassified non-coding RNA is filed under the name soil metagenome. Its description in RNAcentral is "partial contains 5.8S ribosomal RNA, internal transcribed spacer 2, and large subunit ribosomal RNA". The stretch from base 1 to 120 matches the Rfam family "5.8S ribosomal RNA", at positions 35 to 154 of the family's 154-position model. The record is from RNAcentral.